RNAcentral lists this ribosomal RNA (253 nucleotides) under uncultured bacterium. RNAcentral describes it as "partial 16S ribosomal RNA". It matches the Rfam family "Bacterial small subunit ribosomal RNA", at positions 524 to 776 of the family's 1533-position model. The record is from RNAcentral.
UACGAAGGGUGCAAGCGUUACUCGGAAUUACUGGGCGUAAAGCGUGCGUAGGUGGUUCGUUAAGUCUGUCGUGAAAGCCCCGGGCUCAACCUGGGAAUGGCGAUGGAAACUGGCGAGCUAGAGUACGGUAGAGGAGAGUGGAAUUCCCGGUGUAGCAGUGAAAUGCGUAGAGAUCGGGAGGAACAUCAGUUGCGAAGGCGGCUCUCUGGACCAGUACUGACGCUGAGGCACGAAAGCGUGGGGAGCAAACAGG